AGUGUAGGCGGCUAUUUAAGUCGGAUGUGAAAGCCCCGGGCUCAACCUGGGAAUUGCAUUCGAAACUGAAUAGCUAGAGUUUGGUAGAGGUAAGUGGAAUUCCGGGUGUAGCGGUGAAAUGCGUAGAUAUCCGGAGGAACAUCAGUGGCGAAGGCGGCUUACUGGACCAAAACUGACGCUGAGGCUCGAAAGCGUGGGGAGCAAACAGGAUUAGAUACCCCUGGUAGUCC
This 230-nucleotide ribosomal RNA is filed under the name uncultured bacterium. RNAcentral describes it as "partial 16S ribosomal RNA". It matches the Rfam family "Bacterial small subunit ribosomal RNA", at positions 568 to 796 of the family's 1533-position model. The record is from RNAcentral.